Pipistrellus kuhlii (Kuhl's pipistrelle) is the source of this 454-nucleotide long non-coding RNA. RefSeq lists it as uncharacterized. The transcript has 4 exons. The record is from RefSeq and is a predicted model, not a curated record. Lineage: Eukaryota; Metazoa; Chordata; Mammalia; Chiroptera; Vespertilionidae.
GGGCGCGAGAUCCCGCGAGAGCCGAGGUCGGAGCCUCUUCGGGAGGCGAGCGCGGGCUCGCGGCCGGGCUGGGUGGCCACAGGAAUAGCAGUAAGAAAAAAAACUCACAACCCACGGUCGUCUGGAGCAUGACCGAUGCCUAGAUGCACAGUCACCAAGAGAAGAGGGUGGGGACCCUGGAAGGCUGCUGGUCACUGUUGGAACUCAGAUGCCCUCUGAAUACACCCCGAGUAGCUUCUCACAGUUGGAACCGGAAGUACAGCCACGUUAUGGGCAAAGUAACUGCUGUCUGUGAACUGAUCAAAUCGGUCAGAAGGGAAAGAAGCUAUUGGCCUAAGGGCUGAACCCAGCAGAGGAAGCUGCCCAGAGAGCAUGUCUUUGUAAAGGGGACAGAAGUAUUCAGGGCACCAGUGUUUCCAAGUUGAACUUCCUUGUUGAAAUUCACUUCGCACUC